GAUGAACGCUGGCGGCGUGCCUAAUACAUGCAAGUCGAGCGAACAGAUGAGGAGCUUGCUCCUCUGACGUUAGCGGCGGACGGGUGAGUAACACGUGGAUAACCUACCUAUAAGACUGGGAUAACUUCGGGAAACCGGAGAUAAUACCGGAUAAUAUAUUGAACCGCAUGGUUCAAUAGUGAAAGACGGUUUUGCUGUCACUUAUAGAUGGAUCCGCGCCGCAUUAGCUAGUUGGUAAGGUAACGGCUUACCAAGGCAACGAUGCGUAGCCGACCUGAGAGGGUGAUCGGCCACACUGGAACUGAGACACGGUCCAGACUCCUACGGGAGGCAGCAGUAGGGAAUCUUCCGCAAUGGGCGAAAGCCUGACGGAGCAACGCCGCGUGAGUGAUGAAGGUCUUCGGAUCGUAAAACUCUGUUAUUAGGGAAGAACAAAUGUGUAAGUAACUAUGCACGUCUUGACGGUACCUAAUCAGAAAGCCACGGCUAACUACGUG
This 497-nucleotide ribosomal RNA is filed under the name uncultured bacterium. Its description in RNAcentral is "partial 16S ribosomal RNA". It matches the Rfam family "Bacterial small subunit ribosomal RNA", at positions 28 to 507 of the family's 1533-position model. The record is from RNAcentral.